GAGCCCAGCCCAGGGAGUGCCGCCUCCCUGCCUGAUCCCCUGGGAACGCCCCGCCCAAACGUGCGGGAGAAGUGAGGCUCUGCUGCGCCCCCCCGGCCUGGGGAUCGAGAUGACCUUCGUGCCUCCUCGGCGCGCUCCUGUCUGUGCCUCUCGGCGUGGGAGAGGACGCCGAAGCGAGCACACCUGGAGUACAGCGACGCAGUACCUGGCUUGUACCACAGAAGAGUCUCCCUGAAACAAGCCCUGACAAAGAGGAGCUCAUUGUAAAAGAUGCCAUCUUAUAAGAGGACACAGUGAGAGUCAACAGAAACAACACUGGCAAGUCCGGAGCAGAGUUGCCGGGACAAGAUCAAAGCAUGACACUGCUUAUACCUGUUGGUCAAGUUAUGUGGUUAGCAGACCAUCUGCUUAAUCCUCUUGGGGCCUGCUUGUCAACACUUUAGGCGGCAAGCGGAAGAUUCCUGGGAACUGUCUCGAGGCGUUUGGCAGACGCGCCCAGGGCCAACUGUGCGCCCCUCCAGGCUGUUGGGAUUGGAAAUGCUCUUUUAGAAGUGCGUGGCUGGAACAAAGGGGCCCUGUUGGUUGCUUCCAGAUUCUGGAAGAAUCUCUGCCAUUAAUGACGGUGUGGAGUUAAUGUGAUGUAAACUUCCCAUACUUACAGGGUUUUUUUUUUUAAUUUUUUUUUCAAGUUGAAUUAACAGGCAUAUGCUUGAAAGGACUACACACUUACAAAAGGGGUCUGUCUGCUCCACAGAGUUUAGAUGCCUGUCCAAGCCUGGAUGUGGCACGAACCUGCCCUGGUAAAGCAGAAGGGCACGGGAUAUGGACCAAGAACCAUCAUUACUCCCAAUUAUAAUCGACAUUUCAGCAACCUCUAUUCGUUUGUGGAGUCUAUUAAAGAUCUUGGUAAGAAGAUUGUUCUAUAAUAGAAAAAUCAGAUUAAAUCUAAAGAAAAUAAUUCUUAAGCAAGUGGAGGAAAAAAUGUUGGCAAAGCCUGAACUGGCAGUGGCUCAGCAAAAGUUAGAAUAAAAGAUUAAUAGGUUCUAAUACUUUAUUCAAACAAAGCACUGUUGUUAAAAAUACACUGGAUAUAUGCAAAAAUAUAAACUUAGGACAUCUGAUAUUUUGAGUAAAUUAAUAUAUGUAGUGUUCUACAAUACUGAUUAAUUUAUUUGGUGCUCUUUUAAGGUGAGUAAUGAUUAAUAAUUCAGUAUGAUAUGAAAUGAUAUAGACGGCAAAGUCUAUUUUGGUACAUUUAAGUCCAUUCUGUUAAUCAGACCUGUAUUGUCCGUGUGCAUCAUGCAAGUCUCUGAGGUGGCGAUGGAAGGGAUACAAAAAUGGGCAGCUCUUGUUGCUGCCACAGCAAGGGAAUUAUCCAGUGUGAGGAGAUACCUCAGUCUACAAACAAACAAUUCACGAUAUUUGGUAAUUGAUAUUAAACUGCUGCUACCAACUUUAAUAGUAGGCUCCCUUUUGGGGGACUGACUGUGUGCCAGGCAUUGCAUUGUAUCAUUUACUUGGUGCUGAUGUCUAUGACAUGACAAUUCCCUACAAAAUACACUAUGAGCAAACCGAGUAACAAAAAAGGUUAGCAACUUGCUCAAGGUCAAAGCUAAAAUGCAGGGCAGCCAGGUUUCAGACUCAGACUACUGGAUCCUUGCUCUUUGCACUGUAAGGCAUACACUGGCACACCAAUGUUUCUGGUGUGGCAGUUAUGGACUGUCUUAUAGAAAUGGCAUCUGAGUUGGGUCUUGAAGGAUAUACAAUGGUCUCUUGGUGUCUCAAGGAACUGGUUACAGGACUCCUGUGGAUGCUCUAGUCCCCUUAUAAAAUGGCAUAAUAUUUGCAUAUAACCAAUGUACAUCAUCUCAUAUACUUCAAGUCGUCUCUAGAUUACUUUUUUCUUUUCUUUUGUGGCCUUCCUGAGGCAUAUGGCAUCUGAUCCCUCGCCAGGGAUCAGAUCCGAGCCGAAGUUGCAACCUAUGCCGAAACUGCGGCAAUGCCGGAUCCUUAACCCACUGUGCCAGGUCAGGAAUUGAACCUGCAUGCCGGCACUCCCAAGACACCACCGAUUCUGUUGUGCCACAGCGGGAACGCCUACUUAUAAUACAAUGUAAAUGCUAUGUAAAUAGUUGCCUUCACUAGGCAAAUUUAAGUUGUGCCUUUUGGAACUUUCUUCCAUCCACAGUUGAUUGAAUCUGCAGAUGCAGAACUCUCAGAUAUGGAGGGCCCGCUGUACACAUUUAUGACAGAGUGGAGGAGGGAAUAAAAUAAAGGUAUGGAGACAGAAGAGUAUAGAGAAACUUAAAAGAAGUCUAAUUUGGUGGCAGUUUGGUGAACAGAAGGAAAUAAAAUGCAGCGGUUGAAGUGGGGAGUCAAGCAGAAGUUCAGUGGUGACAAUUUAGGGAAUAGCCAGGGAUAAUCCCAGCCAGAUGGUUUCCUCUGAGAAUAGAGGUCAGAUGGGAUCCUAACUCACUUUCCAGUUCUGUGCCUGUGCUUCCCUGUCAGGGAACCCUUAGUUCCCCCAUCCCAUUUCCUGUCUCCGUCCAGGAGGGAAGAAGUCAUCUCCAUUCUUCUGCCCUAAUCCUCCGCUAAUUCCUGUCUAAGGUAAGAGCAAUGGUUUCUGGGGUGGUGAGAACAUGAGCCUCCCAAAUCAGCCACUUCUCACCUGUGGCCAGAAUGCCAGUGUGUGAAGGGACAAGCCCAUCUGAGUCGCUCUAAUGUUGCCUGGGUCCACCUGGUAGGCUCUAUGCUUCCAACCCAGGUCUCUGAUGGGGCUGCUUAUCUUUCAGUAAGACCAUCUUCUAUCCAUUUGAUGUGCUUUGGAAGCUAAGUGGACUCCUGAUAAUCUUAGAUUCAGGGACAAAAGUAAGAAGAAGCCUUCCUUAUACUUCCUCACUUAAACGUGAUUCUACAAAUCUGCCUUGCAUUGGAAUUACUGAGUCCUUGCCCAGCUGUUAGUAAAUCGGCAUCUUGUUUUUCCGUUGGUUUUGUUCUCCAUAUGAAUAGAUUUCUUGGUUAGAAUCUCCAAGGAAGAGGGAAAAGGGAAGGAGCAAGGGAGGGAAGGGGAGAAAGAGGAGUGGGGAGCAGGAGGGGAAAGAGGAAGCAGAGGCAGGAAAGAGGUUGGGAAGGUUCCUAUCACCAGCCCUGGAAAGGCAGAUGCUCCAGGGGUUAAUGGAGGUCAGGGUGGGGAUGGCAAAACUUACUGGCUUCAUAUUUUUUGGCUCCAUAUUCAAAAGAAGUAAAAUUUUCCAAAAAUUCAGUUUAGUUCUGCAAAUACUUAUUGAGCCUGAAGCUCACUGUAAGAAACUGUUCUAGAUAUUGGGAGCCAGCUGGGCAAAGAGAGGAAAGAGAUAAAGUAGCUUCCCUCAAGGAACUGUAGUACAAAAUUGAGUGGUUUUAGUUUAUCAUUGAUGUUUAGUAGAAGAAUUCACCACUUCUCAUUUACUGCAAAUUCAUAAAAUAUCAAAUGACAAAUUGACUCAAGAGCUCUUAGAAGUGAGAACUGGGUGCCUUCCAGGGGGUUAUAUAAGAUAAUACCAUUUAUAAAAAUGAGCUUCUUUUAUAGUUUUUCUUAAUUCUAGAAACUUCGGUUACCCAUCUCACCUCUGAUAAUUUUGAAAAAUCAUGCAGAGAUGCUACCCAACAAGUGCCUUUUUAAGCAAAAGCAGGUCACUCCCCCAGCUCAGGAUCCAGCUCUUUUCAAAUUUUAUAAUGGAUAAUAGAAAACAAAUGUUCAAAAUAACUGUAAACAAAGAAACAAGUAAGAAAUCUCCAGAAGCUAAUACUUUUAAAAUUGGAUCUCAGAAAACACUAUUCCAAUUGUUACAUUUACCCCCAUCUUAGAACAUCAUCCUUAAAACAGCAAAACUGGAAAAAUCUUUGCAAUGUUCUUUUUCACUGUUCAAUAGCAUCUUUGCCUCCUCCUAGGCAUAUUAUGCUACCAGACAGAAUAUAAACUUCACUCUUUAUUACAGAAAAUAUCUAUAAAUGUCUACAGGCAUAUUCCUUAUCUGUUUUGCUAGUUUUAAUGCUUUUCUUAUGAUAAUUAUGAGAUUAAUUGGUUCUUUGUCAAGGAGCUACAGUGUUCUGUGACUCUAGCCUAUUUAAUAGUCUUAAAAAGAAACUCAAAUCCCAGAGUUAUAAGAGAGAAUCAAACAUAUGCAAGGUUAUGAAAAAUUAAGGUGGAAAAAAAGCAAAUUUAAUUGUUGACUUUUUGACAGUGCAUGCCAAGACACGCCUCACCUAUUUCUUCCCCAUCCUUGUCUCCUCUCAGAAGCCCAGGCUCCUAUCGAAUAAAAGCAAACUCAGCAAUGAAGUGAAACUGCUAUGCCUUUUACACAUAAAAUGGAUGGGGAAACACAAUAAAUACAUAUGGAAAGGGACUAAAUGGAUGCCAGUGGAAGAGCAUCAGUCAUGUGAGUUUUCCAAAGUGUGCCCUUCACUGGCAGAGAUAAUCCAGGACAUUUAUCAGGCACUGUAGGAGGAAUGUGGCCUUUUGUACUCACAGUCCUCCCCAUCCCUGGAGCAAAUAAGAAAGAACAUUCUACAGUUUUCCUGGGUAAG
This 4566-nucleotide long non-coding RNA is filed under the name Sus scrofa (pig). RNAcentral describes it as "lncRNA (ENSSSCG00005018533.1)". Lineage: Eukaryota; Metazoa; Chordata; Mammalia; Artiodactyla; Suidae. The record is from RNAcentral.